UAGGGAAUCUUCCGCAAUGGACGCAAGUCUGACGGAGCAACGCCGCGUGAGUGAAGAAGGUUUUCGGAUCGUAAAACUCUGUUGUUAGAGAAGAACAAGUGCUAGAGUAACUGUUAGCGCCUUGACGGUAUCUAACCAGAAAGCCACGGCUAACUACGUGCCAGCAGCCGCGGUAAUACGUAGGUGGCAAGCGUUGUCCGGAUUUAUUGGGCGUAAAGCGAGCGCAGGCGGUUCCUUAAGUCUGAUGUGAAAGCCCCCGGCUCAACCGGGGAGGGUCAUUGGAAACUGGGGAACUUGAGUGCAGAAGAGGAGAGUGGAAUUCCAUGCGUAGCGGUGAAAUGCGUAGAUAUAUGGAGGAACACCAGUGGCGAAGGCGACUCUCUGGUCUGUAACUGACGCUGAGGCUCGAAAGCGUGGGUAGCAAACAGGAUUAGAUACCCUGGUAGUCCACGCCGUAAACGAUGAGUGCUAAGUGUUGGAGGGUUUCCGCCCUUCAGUGCUGCAGUUAACGCAUUAAGCACUCCGCCUGGGGAGUACGACCGCAAGGUUG
This 550-nucleotide ribosomal RNA is filed under the name uncultured bacterium. Its description in RNAcentral is "bacterial SSU rRNA". It matches the Rfam family "Bacterial small subunit ribosomal RNA", at positions 355 to 896 of the family's 1533-position model. The record is from RNAcentral.